This 1542-nucleotide ribosomal RNA is filed under the name Klebsiella pneumoniae subsp. pneumoniae MGH 78578. RNAcentral's name for it is "16S ribosomal RNA". It matches the Rfam family "Bacterial small subunit ribosomal RNA". The record is from RNAcentral. Lineage: Bacteria; Pseudomonadati; Pseudomonadota; Gammaproteobacteria; Enterobacterales; Enterobacteriaceae.
UUAAAUUGAAGAGUUUGAUCAUGGCUCAGAUUGAACGCUGGCGGCAGGCCUAACACAUGCAAGUCGAGCGGUAGCACAGAGAGCUUGCUCUCGGGUGACGAGCGGCGGACGGGUGAGUAAUGUCUGGGAAACUGCCUGAUGGAGGGGGAUAACUACUGGAAACGGUAGCUAAUACCGCAUAAUGUCGCAAGACCAAAGUGGGGGACCUUCGGGCCUCAUGCCAUCAGAUGUGCCCAGAUGGGAUUAGCUAGUAGGUGGGGUAACGGCUCACCUAGGCGACGAUCCCUAGCUGGUCUGAGAGGAUGACCAGCCACACUGGAACUGAGACACGGUCCAGACUCCUACGGGAGGCAGCAGUGGGGAAUAUUGCACAAUGGGCGCAAGCCUGAUGCAGCCAUGCCGCGUGUGUGAAGAAGGCCUUCGGGUUGUAAAGCACUUUCAGCGGGGAGGAAGGCGUUAAGGUUAAUAACCUUGGCGAUUGACGUUACCCGCAGAAGAAGCACCGGCUAACUCCGUGCCAGCAGCCGCGGUAAUACGGAGGGUGCAAGCGUUAAUCGGAAUUACUGGGCGUAAAGCGCACGCAGGCGGUCUGUCAAGUCGGAUGUGAAAUCCCCGGGCUCAACCUGGGAACUGCAUUCGAAACUGGCAGGCUAGAGUCUUGUAGAGGGGGGUAGAAUUCCAGGUGUAGCGGUGAAAUGCGUAGAGAUCUGGAGGAAUACCGGUGGCGAAGGCGGCCCCCUGGACAAAGACUGACGCUCAGGUGCGAAAGCGUGGGGAGCAAACAGGAUUAGAUACCCUGGUAGUCCACGCCGUAAACGAUGUCGAUUUGGAGGUUGUGCCCUUGAGGCGUGGCUUCCGGAGCUAACGCGUUAAAUCGACCGCCUGGGGAGUACGGCCGCAAGGUUAAAACUCAAAUGAAUUGACGGGGGCCCGCACAAGCGGUGGAGCAUGUGGUUUAAUUCGAUGCAACGCGAAGAACCUUACCUGGUCUUGACAUCCACAGAACUUAGCAGAGAUGCUUUGGUGCCUUCGGGAACUGUGAGACAGGUGCUGCAUGGCUGUCGUCAGCUCGUGUUGUGAAAUGUUGGGUUAAGUCCCGCAACGAGCGCAACCCUUAUCCUUUGUUGCCAGCGGUUCGGCCGGGAACUCAAAGGAGACUGCCAGUGAUAAACUGGAGGAAGGUGGGGAUGACGUCAAGUCAUCAUGGCCCUUACGACCAGGGCUACACACGUGCUACAAUGGCAUAUACAAAGAGAAGCGACCUCGCGAGAGCAAGCGGACCUCAUAAAGUAUGUCGUAGUCCGGAUUGGAGUCUGCAACUCGACUCCAUGAAGUCGGAAUCGCUAGUAAUCGUAGAUCAGAAUGCUACGGUGAAUACGUUCCCGGGCCUUGUACACACCGCCCGUCACACCAUGGGAGUGGGUUGCAAAAGAAGUAGGUAGCUUAACCUUCGGGAGGGCGCUUACCACUUUGUGAUUCAUGACUGGGGUGAAGUCGUAACAAGGUAACCGUAGGGGAACCUGCGGUUGGAUCACCUCCUUA